CUCCAGACUCCUACGGGAGGCAGCAGUGGGGGAUAUUGCACAAUGGGGGAAACCCUGAUGCAGCGACGCCGCGUGGGUGAAGAAGCGCCUCGGCGCGUAAAGCCCUGUCAGCAGGGAAGAAAAUGACGGUACCUGACCAAGAAGCCCCGGCUAACUACGUGCCAGCAGCCGCGGUAAUACGUAUGGUGCAAGCGUUAUCCGGAUUUACUGGGUGUAAAGGGGGCGCAGACGGCGAUGCAAGCCAGGAGUGAAAGCCCGGGGCCCAACCCCGGGACUGCUCUUGGAACUGCGUGGCUGGAGUGCCGGAGAGGUAGGCGGAAUUCCUAGUGUAGCGGUGAAAUGCGUAGAUAUUAGGAGGAACACCAGUGGCGAAGGCGGCCUACUGGACGGUGACUGACGCUGAGGCUCGAAAGCGUGGGGAGCAAACAGGAUUAGAUACCCGCGUAUC
This 448-nucleotide ribosomal RNA is filed under the name uncultured bacterium. RNAcentral's name for it is "bacterial SSU rRNA". It matches the Rfam family "Bacterial small subunit ribosomal RNA", at positions 329 to 794 of the family's 1533-position model. The record is from RNAcentral.